GUUGGUUCUUCGAAAAAAUAAAUAAGAUCGACAGACCCUUAGCCAUGCUAACGAAGAGAAGAAGAGAGAGAACUCAAAUUACUAACAUACGGGAUGAAAAAGGCAAUAUCACAACAGAUGCUACAGAAAUACAGAAGACAAUUAGAAAUUAUUUUGAAACCCUAUAUUCCAAUAAAAUAGAAGAUAGUGAAGACAUCGAUAAAUUUCUUAAGUCAUAUGAUUUGCCCAGACUGAGUCAGGAGGAUACACACAAUUUGAACAGACCAAUAUCAAUGGAUGAAAUAGAAGAAGCAAUCAAAAGACUACCAACCAAGAAAAGCCCAGGACCAGAUGGGUAUACAGCGGAGUUUUACAAAACCUUUAAAGAAGAAUUAAUACCAAUACUUUUCAAGUUAUUUCAGGAAAUAGAAAAAGAGGGAGCUCUUCCAAAUUCAUUCUAUGAGGCCAACAUCACCCUGAUUCCGAAACCAGACAAAGACACCUCAAAGAAAGAAAACUACAGACCAAUAUCUCUAAUGAACCUAGAUGCAAAAAUCCUCAAUAAAAUUCUGGCGAAUCGGAUACAAAAACACAUCAAAAAAAUUGUGCACCAUGAUCAAGUAGGAUUCAUCCCUGGGAUGCAAGGAUGGUUCAAUAUACGGAAAUCAAUAAAUGUUAUUCACCACAUCAAUAGACUUAAAGAUAAGAACCAUAUGAUCAUCUCGAUAGACGCAGAAAAAGCAUUCGACAAAGUACAGCAUCCCUUUAUGUUCAAAACAUUAGAAAAACUAGGGAUAACAGGAACUUACCUCAACAUUGUAAAAGCUAUCUAUGCUAAGCCUCAGGCUAGCAUCAUUCUGAAUGGAGAAAAAUUGAAGGCAUUCCCUCUAAAAUCUGGAACAAGACAGGGAUGCCCUCUAUCACCACUUCUAUUCAAUAUAGUUCUCGAAACACUGGCCAGAGCAAUUAGACAGACGAAAGAAAUUAAAGGCAUAAAAAUAGGAAAAGAAGAACUUAAAUUAUCACUAUUUGCG
RNAcentral lists this long non-coding RNA (1013 nucleotides) under Marmota monax (woodchuck). Lineage: Eukaryota; Metazoa; Chordata; Mammalia; Rodentia; Sciuridae. The record is from RNAcentral.